CAAUAAAGUACUUCCGUAUCGAAGGUAAAAUCGUCUGCUACCGCAUUUACGCUUGAAAACGGGACAUUUCUACAAUGGACUGGCUUUUAAUCACUAAAGGUAAUUCGAGCACCACAUUG
Long non-coding RNA from Haliotis rubra (blacklip abalone), 119 nucleotides. RefSeq lists it as uncharacterized. The record is from RefSeq and is a predicted model, not a curated record. Lineage: Eukaryota; Metazoa; Mollusca; Gastropoda; Lepetellida; Haliotidae. The transcript has 3 exons.